This 585-nucleotide ribosomal RNA is filed under the name uncultured bacterium. RNAcentral's name for it is "bacterial SSU rRNA". It matches the Rfam family "Bacterial small subunit ribosomal RNA", at positions 338 to 916 of the family's 1533-position model. The record is from RNAcentral.
CCUACGGGAGGCAGCAGUGGGGAAUUUUGGACAAUGGGCGCAAGCCUGAUCCAGCAAUGCCGCGUGAGUGAAGAAGGCCUUCGGGUUGUAAAGCUCUUUUGUCAGGGAAGAAACGGUGGGGGCUAAUAUCUCCUACUAAUGACGGUACCUGAAGAAUAAGCACCGGCUAACUACGUGCCAGCAGCCGCGGUAAUACGUAGGGUGCAAGCGUUAAUCGGAAUUACUGGGCGUAAAGCGUGCGCAGGCGGUUUUGUAAGUCUGUCGUGAAAGCCCCGGGCUCAACCUGGGAAUUGCGAUGGAGACUGCAAGGCUUGAAUCUGGCAGAGGGGGGUAGAAUUCCACGUGUAGCAGUGAAAUGCGUAGAGAUGUGGAGGAACACCGAUGGCGAAGGCAGCCCCCUGGGUCAAGGUUGACGCUCAUGCACGAAAGCGUGGGGAGCAAACAGGAUUAGAUACCCUGGUAGUCCACGCCCUAAACGAUGUCUACUAGUUGUCGGGUUUUAAUUAACUUGGUAACGCAGCUAACGCGUGAAGUAGACCGCCUGGGGAGUACGGUCGCAAGAUUAAAACUCAAAUGAAUUGACGG